RNAcentral lists this small nucleolar RNA (204 nucleotides) under Debaryomyces hansenii. Its description in RNAcentral is "Small nucleolar RNA snR31". It matches the Rfam family "Small nucleolar RNA snR31". Lineage: Eukaryota; Fungi; Ascomycota; Pichiomycetes; Serinales; Debaryomycetaceae. The record is from Rfam by way of RNAcentral.
UUUCUAUUAUUAAGGCAUCCCAAUGGCGUCGUUUCUUGUUUGUCAUUACAAUUAACUUGAUUGCCGUUGGACAAUGAUAGUACUUCUUUCCUUAGUGUUUGGAGUACGAUCAUUGGGAUGAUGUGCUUAUACAUCAAGCUGAGGGUGUAUCUCCGGAUGAUGAGUAAAACUCUGACUCAUUCGGUCAUAAUCCCUUAAACAUUU